GUGAGUAACCUGCCCUUGACUCUGGGAUAAGCGCUGGAAACGGCGUCUAAUACCGGAUACGACCUGCCCCGGCAUCGGGUGUGGGUGGAAAGUUUUUCGGUCAAGGAUGGACUCGCGGCCUAUCAGCUUGUUGGUGAGGUAAUGGCUCACCAAGGCGACGACGGGUAGCCGGCCUGAGAGGGUGACCGGCCACACUGGGACUGAGACACGGCCCAGACUCCUACGGGAGGCAGCAGUGGGGAAUAUUGCACAAUGGGCGAAAGCCUGAUGCAGCAACGCCGCGUGGGGGAUGACGGCCUUCGGGUUGUAAACCUCUUUUAGUAGGGAAGAAGGACUUCGGUUUGACGGUACCUGCAGAAAAAGCACCGGCUAACUACGUGCCAGCAGCCGCGGUAAUACGUAGGGUGCAAGCGUUGUCC
RNAcentral lists this ribosomal RNA (419 nucleotides) under Rathayibacter sp. F261. RNAcentral describes it as "bacterial SSU rRNA". It matches the Rfam family "Bacterial small subunit ribosomal RNA", at positions 117 to 546 of the family's 1533-position model. The record is from RNAcentral. Lineage: Bacteria; Bacillati; Actinomycetota; Actinomycetes; Micrococcales; Microbacteriaceae.